This 199-nucleotide long non-coding RNA is filed under the name Linum usitatissimum (flax). Its description in RNAcentral is "long non-coding RNA (LUSI_LNC000140)". The record is from RNAcentral. Lineage: Eukaryota; Viridiplantae; Streptophyta; Magnoliopsida; Malpighiales; Linaceae.
GAUUACAGUCGGGAUCCAAGCUCCCACCGCCGGUCGUCCCAAAGAACCGGACCUUCAACUCCUCGCAGAACACCCUCACCGUCGACCGUCUCAUCCACCACGUAUCCGACUUAAACGUCGUCCUCACCGCCAUCCUCAAGCUAAACAAAACCUCCCUCGUCGACCUGUACAUCGCUGCCACCUCCGCCACCGCCUCGUU